CCCCCUCUUCCCUGCGGUGCGUGUUGUUUGGGUGGACAAAGAAGAAGGAAAGAAGGAGAAGAAGAGGGAGGAAGUUCCUCCCUCUUCCUGUGUGCGCGUGAGUGGGUGGGAAAAAGAGGAAAAGCAAAGAAGGGAAAAGAAGUAGCCGAGAAAGAAAGGGCAAAAAAACAGAGAGAAAAAAAGAGGGGAAAAUCUCUCUCUCUAUCCCUUUCUCUCUCCCGUGUUUCCCUCUCUCCCCAGCCCAUCUCUCUCUCUCCCCACAUCCUCAACCCUUCUCCCAUGGUGUGUGUCUGUGUGUGUGAGUCAGUGGAAAAGAAAAAGGUCUUAGCUGCAUCAUGUUUAUAUGUCGGGAUCUUCCACCCAUAUCUAUUGGAGAAGUAAAGACAACAGAUAAUGCUCUUUGCUUAGAGCUGAGAGUAUCAUCGAGGGCGAGGCUACGAGAUGGCUUAAAAGUUCUUGGAUCGGUUGGAUUUUACUGCUGUGAAAGGUCAUAGGCGAAAAAGGUGGGAAAAUGAAAAUGAAUGGAAGACCUUGAAUAGGGAAACCUCGAACGGAGCUCCCAUAGAAACACUCCAAAACCUAGCCCAAAACUAACUUCUCAAAUCUCACUUUCGACAUGGCAAGUAAUUCUAUCUCUGAUGGCUCUCAUGCUUUUCGUAGUGAGAUGAGUUGUUAUCUUUAAAGUUUCUUUUGUCAUGGAGGCUUGUAAACUUGUGCCACCAUUUGAUCUUAUGUAUUUCUGUCAAGCUUCUAUGAAAUAAUAUUUGAUGUAUUUCUGUCAAA
This is a long non-coding RNA of Elaeis guineensis (African oil palm), 783 nucleotides long. RefSeq lists it as uncharacterized. The record is from RefSeq and is a predicted model, not a curated record. Lineage: Eukaryota; Viridiplantae; Streptophyta; Magnoliopsida; Arecales; Arecaceae.